CCCCCCUCCUUGGCUUGUCACCUUGGGCAACAAAGCUGGGACGAGCGGCUGUGCUGGCUGGUGCCAUGCGCGGAAGGAGCUGGACGCGGUGUGGUUGAGGGGCUGGGAUCACAGUUGGGCUGAGACAACGGUGGGAUGGCAGCCGGUAGUGACUCGACUCCACCAGGGUGAUGGCCGUGGGAAUUAAGAGAAGUCAGAUGCAGCUGA
This 207-nucleotide long non-coding RNA is filed under the name Phoenix dactylifera (date palm). RNAcentral describes it as "long non-coding RNA (PDAC_LNC007766)". Lineage: Eukaryota; Viridiplantae; Streptophyta; Magnoliopsida; Arecales; Arecaceae. The record is from RNAcentral.